This 22-nucleotide microRNA is filed under the name Heliconius melpomene (postman butterfly). RNAcentral's name for it is "Hme-Mir-33-P8_3p* (star (passenger))". The record is from RNAcentral. Lineage: Eukaryota; Metazoa; Arthropoda; Insecta; Lepidoptera; Nymphalidae.
CAAUAUUUCUACAAAGCAAAUC